Molecule: ribosomal RNA, 468 nt
Filed under: uncultured bacterium
Lineage: Bacteria
Description: partial 16S ribosomal RNA
Rfam family: Bacterial small subunit ribosomal RNA
Source: RNAcentral
GACGAACGCUGGCGGCGUGCUUAACACAUGCAAGUCGAACGGAAAGGCCCUGCUUUUGUGGGGUGCUCGAGUGGCGAACGGGUGAGUAACACGUGAGUAACCUGCCCUUGACUUUGGGAUAACUUCAGGAAACUGGGGCUAAUACCGGAUAGGAGCUCCUGCUGCAUGGUGGGGGUUGGAAAGUUUCGGCGGGUGGGGAUGGACUCGCGGCUUACCAGCUUGUUGGUGGGGGAGUGGCUUACCAAGGCUUUGACGGGUAGCCGGCCGGAGAGGGUGACCGGCCACAUUGGGCCUGAGAUACGGCCCAGACUCCUACGGGGGGCAGCAGUGGGGAAUAUUGCACAAUGGGCGGAAGCCUGAUGCAGAAACGCCGCGUGCGGGAUGACGGCCUUCGGGUUGUAAACCGCUUUCGCCUGUGGCGAAGCGUGAGUGACGGUAAUGGGUAAAGAAGCACCGGCUAACUACGUG